This 214-nucleotide long non-coding RNA is filed under the name Mytilus galloprovincialis (Mediterranean mussel). Lineage: Eukaryota; Metazoa; Mollusca; Bivalvia; Mytilida; Mytilidae. The record is from RNAcentral.
CAGUGUUGCUAAGUGCGUUAAAACCCUAAGCAUUUAUUUUGAGAAAGCUUUGGAAAUGAACAAACAUAAUAGAUCAGAAACAUUGAACGAAGUUAAGUCUUUUCAUUUGCAUUUUACUACUUGUGUAUAUGAUCAAGGCUUUGCAAGCGGAGGCACGAGUCUAUUUACAAGAACUCUUUACCAAACCGACGCGAGCACUUAGAUAUGAAAAUGC